RNAcentral lists this ribosomal RNA (486 nucleotides) under uncultured bacterium. RNAcentral describes it as "partial 16S ribosomal RNA". It matches the Rfam family "Bacterial small subunit ribosomal RNA", at positions 30 to 507 of the family's 1533-position model. The record is from RNAcentral.
AUUGAACGCUGGCGGCAUGCCUUACACAUGCAAGUCGAACGGCAGCACGGGUGCUUGCCCCUGGUGGCGAGUGGCGAACGGGUGAGUAAUACAUCGGAACAUGUCCUGUAGUGGGGGAUAGCCCGGCGAAAGCCGGAUUAAUACCGCAUACGAUCUACGGAUGAAAGCGGGGGACCUUCGGGCCUCGCGCUAUAGGGUUGGCCGAUAGCUGAUUAGCUAGUUGGUGGGGUAAAGGCCUACCAAGGCGACGAUCAGUAGCUGGUCUGAGAGGACGGCCAGCCACACUGGGACUGAGACACGGCCCAGACUCCUACGGGAGGCAGCAGUGGGGAAUUUUGGACAAUGGGCGAAAGCCUGAUCCAGCAAUGCCGCGUGUGUGAAGAAGGCCUUCGGGUUGUAAAGCACUUUUGUCCGGAAAGAAAUCCUUGGCUCUAAUACAGUCGGGGGAUGACGGUACCGGAAGAAUAAGCACCGGCUAACUACGUG